AAUCACUUGUCUUUUAAAUGAAGACCUGUAUGAAUGGCAUAACGAGGGCUUAACUGUCUCCUCUCUCAAGUCAAUGAAGUUGAUCUCCCCGUGCAGAAGCGGGGAUAAUUACAUAAGACGAGAAGACCCUAUGGAGCUUGAGACGAUAGGGCAGCCCAUGUUAAACACCCCCCACACCGGACCAAACUAAAUGGCUCCUGCCUUAAUGUCUUCGGUUGGGGCGACCCUGGGGAAUACAAAACCCCCACGUGGAAUAGGAGCACCCGUCCCCCCCCCGACUCCUCCAAACUAGAGCCACACCUCAAAUUAACAAAACUUUUGACCAAAAAUGAUCCGGCAACGCCGAUCAACGGACCAAGUUACCCUAGGGAUAACAGCGCAAUCCCCUUUUAGAGCCCAUAUCGACAAGGGGGUUUACGACCUCGAUGUUGGAUCAGGACAUCCUAAUG
This 449-nucleotide ribosomal RNA is filed under the name Lepidorhombus boscii (fourspotted megrim). RNAcentral describes it as "partial 16S ribosomal RNA". It matches the Rfam family "Bacterial large subunit ribosomal RNA", at positions 1963 to 2552 of the family's 2925-position model. Lineage: Eukaryota; Metazoa; Chordata; Actinopteri; Pleuronectiformes; Scophthalmidae. The record is from RNAcentral.